CCUACGGGAGGCAGCAGUGAGGAAUAUUGGUCAAUGGGCGGAAGCCUGAACCAGCCAAGUAGCGUGCGGGAUGAAGGCCCUACGGGUCGUAAACCGCUUUUGCACGGGGAUAACACCCUCCACUUGUGGACGUCUGCAGGUACCGUGCGAAUAAGGGCCGGCUAAUUCCGUGCCAGCAGCCGCGGUAACACGGAAGGCACGAGCGUUAUCCGGAUUCAUUGUGCUAAAAGGAAGCGUAGGCGGGCGUUCAAGUCAGCUGUAAACUCGCGUGGCUCCACCGCACCCCCAGUUGAAACUGGACGCCUUGAGUUCACAACAGGCAGGCAGAAUUCGUGGUUUAGCGGUGAAAUGCAUAGAUAUCACGAGGAACCCCGGUUGCGAAGGCAGCCUGCUGGGGUGCGACUGACGCUGAGGCUCGAAGGUGCGGGUAUCAAACAGGAUUAGAUACCCGAGUAGUC
RNAcentral lists this ribosomal RNA (458 nucleotides) under uncultured bacterium. RNAcentral describes it as "partial 16S ribosomal RNA". It matches the Rfam family "Bacterial small subunit ribosomal RNA", at positions 338 to 795 of the family's 1533-position model. The record is from RNAcentral.